GACGAACGCUGGCGGCGUGCUUAACACAUGCAAGUCGAACGGAAAGGCCCUGCUUGCAGGGUACUCGAGUGGCGAACGGGUGAGUAACACGUGGGUGAUCUGCCCUGCACUUCGGGAAUAGCCUGGGAAACUGGGUCUAAUACCGGAUAGGAGCCAUUUUUAGUGUGAUGGUUGGAAAGUUUUUUCGGUGUAGGAUGAGCUCGCGGCCUAUCAGCUUGUUGGUGGGGUAAUGGCCUACCAAGGCGGCGACGGGUAGCCGGCCUGAGAGGGUGGACGGCCACAUUGGGACUGAGAUACGGCCCAGACUCCUACGGGAGGCAGCAGUGGGGAAUAUUGCACAAUGGGCGCAAGCCUGAUGCAGCGACGCCGCGUGGGGGAUGACGGCCUUCGGGUUGUAAACUCCUUUCGCUAGGGACGAAGCUUUUUGUGACGGUACCUAGAUAAGAAGCACCGGCUAACUACGUG
This 465-nucleotide ribosomal RNA is filed under the name uncultured bacterium. RNAcentral's name for it is "partial 16S ribosomal RNA". It matches the Rfam family "Bacterial small subunit ribosomal RNA", at positions 28 to 507 of the family's 1533-position model. The record is from RNAcentral.